RNAcentral lists this ribosomal RNA (448 nucleotides) under uncultured bacterium. RNAcentral's name for it is "bacterial SSU rRNA". It matches the Rfam family "Bacterial small subunit ribosomal RNA", at positions 329 to 794 of the family's 1533-position model. The record is from RNAcentral.
UUCCAGACUCCUACGGGAGGCAGCAGUGGGGAAUAUUGCACAAUGGGGGGAACCCUGAUGCAGCGACGCCGCGUGAGUGAAGAAGUAAUUCGUUAUGUAAAGCUCUAUCAGCAGGGAAGAAAAUGACGGUACCUGAGUAAGAAGCCCCGGCUAACUACGUGCCAGCAGCCGCGGUAAUACGUAGGGGGCAAGCGUUAUCCGGAUUCACUGGGUGUAAAGGGAGCGUAGACGGCCAUGCAAGCCAGGGGUGAAAGCCCGGGGCCCAACCCCGGGACUGCCCUUGGAACUGCAUGGCUGGAGUGCGGGAGGGGCAGGCGGAAUUCCUGGUGUAGCGGUGAAAUGCGUAGAUAUCAGGAGGAACACCGGCGGCGAAGGCGGCCUGCUGGACCGCGACUGACGUUGAGGCUCGAAAGCGUGGGGAGCGAACAGGAUUAGAUACCCUCGUAGC